This 1442-nucleotide long non-coding RNA is filed under the name Vigna radiata. RNAcentral's name for it is "long non-coding RNA (VRAD_LNC002417)". Lineage: Eukaryota; Viridiplantae; Streptophyta; Magnoliopsida; Fabales; Fabaceae. The record is from RNAcentral.
GAAUCCCUUGUUUUGUGGGGUACCCCUGAGCUGGAGUUAACCAUAUAGACGAAGAUCUAUCCCUUAAGUUGCAGGGUAGUGUGCCUUUUAUGAAGCUAUUGCUACUUUCAGUCUUUCUUCUAAAUAAAUUUGAACACAAUCUCAAAGUUUUGGCACUCCUACAAAAGGAACUUCUUCAAUACUAAUAUCAGUCUCAAAUUGAAAUUUCAAUUUCCAGGUAUCUAUGUCCCUAUAUGCAAUUUUGCAAGAUUAUUUGUUUGUUUUCCAUCACAGCAAACGUUUUUUUUUUCUUGAUUCACCAUGGAUUGUUAUGGUUUAUGUUUUUUCAUCCUUUUUUCAGUAACCAUUCUCUGUGUAUUGAUUUUCUUACCACCAUUUUCACCAAAGGAGGAAAAUAUUCCAAACAUUGAAAGUAUCCUACUCAAUAACAUUAUAGGUGUUUUCAUCCAAAAAUUUAUAUUUAUUAUCAAGGAAAUAAAGAAUGAAUUUUUUUUUUCCUUUAGCGGUGAGCUCAAGUUAUUCUAAAAUGGAGCUUAGAAAAUUAAUUUGGAGAAAAAAAAAAUGCUUCUUUGAACCAAACCUAAAACAAUAUUGUUUUGAAGUUAUAUGAACUCUUGAGUAUGAAGUUUUCAUGACUACUGUAAGCUGUGUGUAGCUAAUAAAAGCAAUCUUAUGAUUGUUUGAUUUUUGUAGAGAGAUAUUGAUGGUGCAGAUAAAAUACUGUAUAUUUUUUAAGUGAAUUUAUGUGGAAUCAGAAUUGGUAUUUAUUUAUCUUGAUCAUCUAGUUUUGGAUAAUAUUAAAUAAUGGAAGUAUGUGAAAAGCAUCUGGUUCCACCAAAAAGUGAUAAAAAUUACCAUGGUCCCACUUGAAAUAAUUUACUUGUAUUAAUUCAACGUAUUAGUUCUAAGUACAAAUAUUAAAACUUAGUUAUGUUCUUCUCUUGUGAAUAUUAAUAUUAAUCCAUUGAAUUUUAGAAAAUUCUAAUUAAAUGUCUAAAUUUAUAUGAAUGAAUGGUAGUAUGGAUUUCUUUGAUAUAUAUGUAUAUAUCAAUUCAAAUUAUUUAAGAUUAUGGAGUAUUUAAAUUUUCAGAUCAGAUUAAUUAACUGUUAUAUAAAAUAUUGUAAACUUUGUAAUAAUAAUAAUAAUACUUUGUAAAAAGGUAUUCAAAUUCAUUUGCUAAUUUAAAAUAAUAAUACUUUAAUCACAUUUAUUAUAUUUAAAAUGGCAUAAUUUUUUUGAAUGAGUACAUCAUUGUUUAUUGUAUUAUAUUUUCUGAAUCUUACUUUAGAUUUUGUCUUGUAUGUUACUUUGUUAUCAUGUGGUCUCUUGAAAGAAGAAGGAAAGGAGAUGGUGGUUGAAGAGAGUGAGAUGAAUUCCCAACAAGAUGGCAACAAGAACCACCAUUCUCAGUUCCCACCAUCGUCCAUUGGAAGACAGACAU